Molecule: ribosomal RNA, 409 nt
Filed under: uncultured bacterium
Lineage: Bacteria
Description: bacterial SSU rRNA
Rfam family: Bacterial small subunit ribosomal RNA
Source: RNAcentral
CAGCAGCCGCGGUAAUACGAAGGGUGCAAGCGUUAAUCGGAAUUACUGGGCGUAAAGCGCGCGUAGGCGGUUUGGUAAGUGUGAUGUGAAAGCCCCGGGCUCAACCUGGGAAUUGCCUCACAUACUGCCAGGCUAGAGUACGGUAGAGGGGGGUAGAAUUCCACGUGUAGCGGUGAAAUGCGUAGAGAUGUGGAGGAAUACCAGAGGCGAAGGCGGCCAACUGGGCUUGAUCUGACGCUGAGGUGCGAAAGCGUGGGGAGCGAACAGGAUUAGAUACCCUGGUAGUCCACGCCGUAAACGAUGGGCACUAGAUGCCGGUGGGAACGACCCCUUCGGUGUCGCAGCUAACGCACUAAGUGCCCCGCCUGGGGAGUACGGCCGCAAGGCUGAAACUCAAAGGAAUUGACGG